UCUCCGUUAUGCAAUUUUGAUAAAACUCUUAACCUUUUUUUUUUCUUUUGGACAAAGCAAAACUCUGUUCAGACGAUCAAGCUUUUGGGUAGACCUCAUUUGCGUAAUGUAUGAAUCAUAUCUCAUCAUAAAUUCAUAUAGUUUUCCGCACCAAUAACUUCUUAAAUAUAUUGCUUCCACCAAUUACCCAAUGCAUCUUUUAAAUAAACCAGCAAGUUGUCAAUAAAUCAGUCAUCCAUAGAUGAGGAAUGAGAGAUACCAUUAAUAUAAAAGACCAAUGUGCGACAAAAUAAUAACAUAAAUUAAGAGAGUAAAACUACUGCAGAAACCCGAAAUUGUCUAAAACAGAAGACACUCCAAGACACAAAGCUCAGUCUUAAAAAGCCCUAAAGC
Molecule: long non-coding RNA, 393 nt
Filed under: Brassica rapa (field mustard)
Lineage: Eukaryota; Viridiplantae; Streptophyta; Magnoliopsida; Brassicales; Brassicaceae
Description: long non-coding RNA (BRAP_LNC004529)
Source: RNAcentral